ACCCCGGUAUUAUUGCUGUUAUGGGUUUGAAUCGAGCUUAGCCUUGUUCAUUUUUUUACACAACACCCCCGUAAAAAAUCCUACACGCCCCGCUCAAGCCUGCGAGUCCCAAGCACAUCAAACCCAGAAAACCGCCCCAAAACCCCGCAAAAAAGCCCCCACGGCGCUUUUUUAGGGCAA
Molecule: small RNA, 180 nt
Filed under: Pseudomonas libanensis
Lineage: Bacteria; Pseudomonadati; Pseudomonadota; Gammaproteobacteria; Pseudomonadales; Pseudomonadaceae
Description: Pseudomonas sRNA P1
Rfam family: Pseudomonas sRNA P1
About the family: There appears to be two related copies of P1 sRNA in the P.aeruginosa PA01 genome and both copies appear to be located upstream of predicted glutamine synthetase genes. This sRNA appears to be conserved amongst several Pseudomonas species. P1 has a predicted Rho independent terminator at the 3' end but the function of P1 is unknown.
Source: RNAcentral